This 569-nucleotide precursor RNA is filed under the name Oryza sativa Indica Group (long-grained rice). RNAcentral's name for it is "putative precursor microRNA R408". The stretch from base 1 to 155 matches the Rfam family "MIR408 microRNA precursor family", at positions 29 to 126 of the family's 126-position model. Lineage: Eukaryota; Viridiplantae; Streptophyta; Magnoliopsida; Poales; Poaceae. The record is from RNAcentral.
AGGCAGAGCAUGGGAUGGGGCUAUCAACAGAUGUAGAUUAUUCCUUGCACAAGAGAUGAUGAUGAGCUGUGAAUGAGUUCUGAGAGAUGGCUGGUGUUGUUGUUGCUCCCUCCCCUGCACUGCCUCUUCCCUGGCUCCCCUGCACACCUCUCUCUCUCUCUCUCUCUCUCUCUCUCUCUCUCUCUCUCUCUCUCUGUGUUAGUAUAUUGUUUUUAUGUUUUAGUAAUUAUUUUCCUUCCAUAAGUGAUACGGUAUUUGUAGCAUGUAGGUAGAAAAAAAAAUGAAACUAGAGUGAUGUGACACUUCAAGGGCUGUUGCAAAUUAACACAUUUUAAAAUGGACCAAGCGUACUAUUUCUCAGCAUGUGGUUCUAGCUCAAAACAUGCAUUUCAUUCGGCAUGCCAUGCUAGUUUUAAGCUCAGUAUAGCAUUUCAAUAAUUUAUUUGACAUACUAAAUCUAGCUCAAAACUGCAUUUCAUACGGUAUGUCAUCCACGUUUCUAGCUAAAAAUAGCAUUUCAUUUGGCAUUGCUAUGCUAGUUUCUAGCUCAAAAUAGCAUUCUAAUUUAC